AUCGCUUCUCGGCCUUUUGGCUAAGAUCAAGUGUAGUAUGUAUAUAUGAAUAACCAAUGGGCCAAUACUAUUCAUUUAAAUAUUCCCUCCUUUCGUAUCUUCA
Molecule: small nuclear RNA, 103 nt
Filed under: Suricata suricatta (meerkat)
Lineage: Eukaryota; Metazoa; Chordata; Mammalia; Carnivora; Herpestidae
Description: U2 spliceosomal RNA (ENSSSUG00005003648.1)
Rfam family: U2 spliceosomal RNA
About the family: U2 is a small nuclear RNA (snRNA) component of the spliceosome (involved in pre-mRNA splicing). Complementary binding between U2 snRNA (in an area lying towards the 5' end but 3' to hairpin I) and the branchpoint sequence (BPS) of the intron results the bulging out of an unpaired adenosine, on the BPS, which initiates a nucleophilic attack at the intronic 5' splice site, thus starting the first of two transesterification reactions that mediate splicing.
Source: Rfam by way of RNAcentral